This is a long non-coding RNA of Amaranthus tricolor (Joseph's coat), 639 nucleotides long. RefSeq lists it as uncharacterized. The record is from RefSeq and is a predicted model, not a curated record. Lineage: Eukaryota; Viridiplantae; Streptophyta; Magnoliopsida; Caryophyllales; Amaranthaceae. The transcript has 2 exons.
AGAAAAAGAUAAAUCAAACAAAACAAAAACAAAUGAAACACAGUUAUAUGAUAUCUCCUUCUCCGCCAUUUUCUUAUUUCCUCUUCCUACACAGUUAUCUUCUCUUAUUCUGUUCCUUCUUCAUUUUACAUCUUCAAUCUUUAUCUUUUAUGAUUAGUUUUGUGAUCUUACUAGUAUAAUACUUCACAUCUUCAAAGAGGCUAGAAAAAGUUUCUAAACUUUCAAUCUUGGUGCGUUUGGGGCUACUUCAAGUGACGAUUUUUCCCAAAAUUUGAUAGUUUUUAAUCAUCUUUGGUGUGGGUACCUGAAGGUUAGAGUCGGGGUACGGGCAGAGAGCUACGUCCACUCAUUUUGUGUAUAUAGUUAUAAUAUUUCUUUCCGCCUUAGUUUUAUGUAUAAUUACUAUUAAGACUUAAAGGUGUAAAUAUUAAUCUGCGCUAAAUCUUUUUGAUUAGGUUGUAAUAGUUUAACUUAAGUUAUGAUUUAGAUGUUGGUUGGAUAGUUUUCUUAGCGAUUAUUCUUAAAAUAAUUGUGGAAUAACAUGCCUGAAAUUUCGAGUUAGGAGAUGUGUUGGCGAUUGAGCUAUGUGGGGCUGAAAACAUGGAAUAUGGAAUGGAUUUUUUUGUUGAAACAAGUUUA